GAUGAACGCUAGCUACAGGCUUAACACAUGCAAGUCGAGGGGAAACGAUGAGAGAGCUUGCUCUCUUAGGCGUCGACCGGCGCACGGGUGAGUAACGCGUAUCCAACCUACCCAUUACAGGGGGAUAACCUUGCGAAAGUAAGACUAAUACCCCAUGGCAUUUUAUGGUGGCAUCAUUAUAGGAUUAAAGAUUUAUUGGUAAUGGAUGGGGAUGCGUCUGAUUAGCUUGUUGGCGGGGUAACGGCCCACCAAGGCAACGAUCAGUAGGGGUUCUGAGAGGAAGGUCCCCCACAUUGGAACUGAGACACGGUCCAAACUCCUACGGGAGGCAGCAGUGAGGAAUAUUGGUCAAUGGGCGAGAGCUUGAACCAGCCAAGUAGCGUGCAGGAUGACGGCCCUAUGGGUGGUAAACUGCUUUUAUAGGGGAAUAAAGUGAGCUACGUGUAGUUUAUUGCAUGUACCCUAUGAAUAAGGACCGGCUAAUUCCGUG
This 490-nucleotide ribosomal RNA is filed under the name uncultured bacterium. RNAcentral's name for it is "partial 16S ribosomal RNA". It matches the Rfam family "Bacterial small subunit ribosomal RNA", at positions 28 to 507 of the family's 1533-position model. The record is from RNAcentral.